GCGCCUGUAGCUCAGAUGGAUAGAGCAUCAGCCUCCGGAGCUGAGGGUCGGAGGUUCGAAUCCUCUCAGGCGCGCCA
Molecule: transfer RNA, 77 nt
Filed under: Nitrospirae bacterium CG1_02_44_142
Lineage: Bacteria; Pseudomonadati; Nitrospirota
Also listed under: 9 other names
Description: tRNA-Arg
Rfam family: tRNA
About the family: Transfer RNA (tRNA) molecules are approximately 80 nucleotides in length. Their secondary structure includes four short double-helical elements and three loops (D, anti-codon, and T loops). Further hydrogen bonds mediate the characteristic L-shaped molecular structure. tRNAs have two regions of fundamental functional importance: the anti-codon, which is responsible for specific mRNA codon recognition, and the 3' end, to which the tRNAs corresponding amino acid is attached (by aminoacyl-tRNA synthetases). tRNAs cope with the degeneracy of the genetic code in two manners: having more than one tRNA (with a specific anti-codon) for a particular amino acid; and 'wobble' base-pairing, i.e. permitting non-standard base-pairing at the 3rd anti-codon position.
Source: RNAcentral